GAGGGGAUAGCUCAAGUGGUAGAGUGCGCGCUUAACAUGCACAAGGUCCUGGGUUCAAUCCCCAGUACCUCCU
Transfer RNA from Camelus ferus (Wild Bactrian camel), 73 nucleotides. It matches the Rfam family "tRNA". From Rfam's summary of the family: Transfer RNA (tRNA) molecules are approximately 80 nucleotides in length. Their secondary structure includes four short double-helical elements and three loops (D, anti-codon, and T loops). Lineage: Eukaryota; Metazoa; Chordata; Mammalia; Artiodactyla; Camelidae. The record is from Rfam.